UACAGAGGUCUCAAGCGUUGUUCGGAUUCAUUGGGCGUAAAGGGUGCGUAGGCGGUGAGGUAAGUCGGAUGUGAAAUCCCGGGGCUCAACCCCGGAACUGCAUUCGAUACUGCUUUACUUGAGGACUGGAGAGGAGAUUGGAAUUCACGGUGUAGCAGUGAAAUGCGUAGAUAUCGUGAGGAAGACCAGCGGCGAAGGCGAAUCUCUGGACAGAUCCUGACGCUGAGGCACGAAGGCUAGGGGAGCAAACGGG
RNAcentral lists this ribosomal RNA (253 nucleotides) under uncultured bacterium. Its description in RNAcentral is "partial 16S ribosomal RNA". It matches the Rfam family "Bacterial small subunit ribosomal RNA", at positions 524 to 776 of the family's 1533-position model. The record is from RNAcentral.